AAUCCGUGUUGUGGGCACUUCCACAAAAGGUCUUUGAAACGCCCCCAUGUCUCAAACAAGGACUCGAGCUCCAUUUGAACAAACGAUGAAAUCUCACUGCGAAGUUU
Small nucleolar RNA from Dioscorea cayenensis subsp. rotundata (Guinea yam), 107 nucleotides. The record is from RefSeq and is a predicted model, not a curated record. NCBI's taxonomy places the organism in Eukaryota, Viridiplantae, Streptophyta, Magnoliopsida, Dioscoreales, Dioscoreaceae.